GCUCCAGGAGGUGGCCAGCGCUUCGCCUCUGCGGACCCCUUUGCGGGACGCGGUGAAAGCGUUUGCCCGUUUGGCCGCAGGAAAACGCCGGGAUGAGCAGUGAGGAAGUGACUUAGAAGUUAUUAAAAGCAGUUCUGGGACCCAGUGGGGCCCAGUUUGCUUCCUAGGAGGCCAGUGGAGGCUGAAACAGCUGUUGGACUGGGAGGAAGAGGCCUAGUCCCCAUGGUGGACCCAGCUGCCUAGAGGGCAUUUUAUGUUGAAUGCAAGAAUAUUUCUCACCCAGGUCCUUAGCAGGUGAGGCCCUGUAACCCAGCUGAACUCCACAUCUGCAGAGCCCCAGCUUGAAGACAAAAGAUCAGAGAACUUGAGAAACCUGGGAACAGGGGCAUCUUUGGAGCUUUGCCUUUAUUCACAGAAGUCUGAAAGUACCAUCAAGUAGAAGUUGUGUCUUCGUCCUCUUCUGCUUACUGGGAAGAACAUGGCUUCAAGGAUUUUAAGUUUCCAUUUAGUUUUGCAUGAACUCUGUGGGAAACAGAGCCCUUAACAGGGUCAGGAGUAACAAGCAGAGACUGAAGACGGUCAGGUUUGCUCCGUUUUCCCUCCCCCUCCAAAGGAAAGGAUUUACAACUCAGCCCUGUAACAGCUGUUGUCCAGUGUUGGCCGUCAAGAGAGAAGUAAAUAAAGUUAAGCUGCCGGUGCCAGACUGCAGGGCCUGGUGAAGCCGUGUGGGCGUGGUGGCCUCGGGAGGCUGCGCAGGACAGGACUGCAGGCAGGGCAGCGGGGCGCACCUUCAGGG
RNAcentral lists this long non-coding RNA (796 nucleotides) under Heterocephalus glaber (naked mole-rat). RNAcentral's name for it is "lncRNA (ENSHGLG00100049713.1)". Lineage: Eukaryota; Metazoa; Chordata; Mammalia; Rodentia; Bathyergidae. The record is from RNAcentral.